AAUUUUGGACAAGGGGGGAAACCCUGAUCCAGCCAUCCCGCGUGUGCGAUGAAGGCCUUAGGGUUGUAAAGCUCUUUUGGCAGGGAAGAAAAGGCUCUGGUUAAUACCUGGAGCUGCGGCCGGUACCAUCACAAUAAGCACGGGCGAACUAGGUGCCAGCAGCGACGGUAAUAUGUUGGGUGCAAGCGUUAACCGUAAUUCCUGGGCGUAAAGGGUUCGCAGGCGGUUUAGCAAGAAGGAUGUAAAAUCCCGGGGCUUAACCUCGGAACUGCAUUCUUAACUGCCAGGCUAGAGUAUGUCAGAGGGGGGUAGAAUUCCGCGUGUAGCAGUGAAAUGCGUAGAGAUGCGGAGGAAUACCGAUGGCGAAGGCAGCCCCCUGGGAUAAUACUGACGCUCAGGCACGAAAGCGUGGGGAGCAAACA
Molecule: ribosomal RNA, 422 nt
Filed under: uncultured bacterium
Lineage: Bacteria
Description: partial 16S ribosomal RNA
Rfam family: Bacterial small subunit ribosomal RNA
Source: RNAcentral